This 216-nucleotide ribosomal RNA is filed under the name uncultured bacterium. RNAcentral's name for it is "partial 16S ribosomal RNA". It matches the Rfam family "Bacterial small subunit ribosomal RNA", at positions 1286 to 1500 of the family's 1533-position model. The record is from RNAcentral.
UCCCAGUUCGGAUUGUAGUCUGCAACCCGACUACAUGAAGCUGGAAUCGCUAGUAAUCGCGGAUCAGAAUGCCGCGGUGAAUACGUUCCCGGGUCUUGUACACACCGCCCGUCACACCAUGGGAGUCGGAAAUGCCCGAAGUCUGUGACCUAACCGUAAGGAAGGAGCAGCCGAAGGCAGGUCGGAAUGACUGGGGUGAAGUCGUAACAAGGUAUC